GCUGGGUGUGGUGGCGCAUGCCUGUAAUCCCAGCUACUCAGGAGGCUGAGGCAGGAGAAUCGCCUGAACCCAGGAGGCAGAGGUUGCAGUGAGCCGAGAUCAUGCCAUUGCACUUCAGCCUGGGCAACAGGGCAAGACUCUGUCUCAA
Molecule: non-coding RNA, 148 nt
Filed under: Nomascus leucogenys (northern white-cheeked gibbon)
Lineage: Eukaryota; Metazoa; Chordata; Mammalia; Primates; Hylobatidae
Source: Rfam by way of RNAcentral